GAAUUCGGCAAUCGCAGUAAUUUUGCCGCGCGCCUUCUUGAGAUAUUCUGCCUGGAUAUCGAGCACGAUACCGCGCAUGUCUGUCGAUAGUGUUGACAAUACGGCGAGACCCGUCGCCAGUUCCCCGAGAUUGAUCAGCGCGAUCGCAUGCAUUGAGCGCAGAUGAUUGCGCAGCCGGCGCCUGUCCUUGAUGCUCGCUCGCGCAUAACCCGGAGCAAGUUCUUCGACACGGGCGCCAAUGCUACCGCUGUAUGGCGCGAGCCAUCCCAGACCGAGACUAAAUAUCAGGCGCCCUGCUGGCAGCGGUUCAAGGCGUGACCACCAGGUCAAAAUCGAGCCCUGUGCCUGACUCCUGCGAGGAUUUUUUUUGAUCUGUAUCAUCCAAUCUGCAGGCAGGCUUGUGCGGCCGCGUAUUAUGCGCUAUUAAUGAUUCCAUGGAAA
This 441-nucleotide ribosomal RNA is filed under the name Lepocinclis sp. Its description in RNAcentral is "partial small subunit ribosomal RNA". The record is from RNAcentral. Lineage: Eukaryota; Euglenozoa; Euglenophyceae; Euglenales; Phacaceae.